RNAcentral lists this ribosomal RNA (408 nucleotides) under uncultured microorganism. RNAcentral's name for it is "bacterial SSU rRNA". It matches the Rfam family "Archaeal small subunit ribosomal RNA", at positions 330 to 745 of the family's 1478-position model. The record is from RNAcentral.
GUGCACCAGGCGAGAAACUUUACAAUGUGCGAAAGCACGAUAAGGGAACUCUGAGUGCCUCCUAAGGAGGCUGUUCUGAUGUCUAAAAGCAACAGAAGUAAGGGCUGGGUAAGACCGGUGCCAGCCGCCGCGGUAACACCGGCAGCCCAAGUGGUAGCCACGUUUAUUGGGUCUAAAGCGUUCGUAGCCGGCCAGGUAAGUUCCUUGGUAAAUUUAGCCGCUUAACGGUUAAGCUUUCGGGGAAUACUGCUUGGCUUGGGACUGGGAGAGGUCAGAGGUACUCCGGGGGUAGGGGUGAAAUCUAUUAAUCCCUGGGGGACCACCGGUAGCGAAGGCGUCUGACCAGACCAGGUCCGACGGUGAGGGACGAAGGCUGGGGGCGCGAACCGGAUUAGAUACCCGUGUAGU